Molecule: long non-coding RNA, 263 nt
Filed under: Cricetulus griseus (Chinese hamster)
Lineage: Eukaryota; Metazoa; Chordata; Mammalia; Rodentia; Cricetidae
Description: lncRNA (ENSCGRG00015033993.1)
Source: RNAcentral
GACCUGUCCUCUGCCGUUUUUCUGGGAAAGGGAGGCUCGGGCAGUGCUUCGGGUCAAGCUAACAGCCUAGUUGCGACUCCCGUACACAGUCUUAAUGUUUGAUUUUGGGAAGGUUCAACCUCUGCCUCUAUCCCUCAACAUAUGGGUGACCUAUUUGCUUGUAAAAAUAUAAAGCCUUAUCAUUAAUUAAUAAAAAAAGGGGGAUCUGUAGGGAGCCGUCCCUGCAUUCUCCAUUACAAGAUGGCGCCUGCAUCCGGCAGGCA